AGACCAGGCUCAGGAGCAGAAAGCAGAAGAUGGUUUCCAGCCAGCCAAAAAACUGCAGGACUGUCCGGGAGAGACCUCCUCUGCGGCACGGCACGGCACGGCACAGCACAGCACGGCUCCCUUGCGAACAAAGCCGCAGUGUGCGCUGAGCGGCACGUACAGCUGGCAGCCUCCUGCCCUGGGCUGGAGGACACACAUCGCUGUGUGUCUACAAGGAAGGUUUUGUCUGAGCCGAGGGGAGGACGAGUGCUUUCUCGGCUGGAGCCUCAGAGAUAUGCAUGGCUAAGGGACAGGAAUUUCUGCCCCCAGGCUUCAGCUAGCAGCCAGGCUCCCUGCAUACCGCACUGUAAUUCACCCACCGAAGUUUUUGCGUUGUAAAGUAAAAUAAGACAGCAGGCACGCCAUGUACUGAGCAACACGAGACGGUGCUCUGAGGUCCUUCUCCUCCCCUCCCUGCUGGCUGCGAGCGCAUGGCCUUUAUCAGCACCACGGCUGGGUGAUUCCCACAGCUUGGCAAAAACACCUGCCGUUCGCUCUCGGUGGAUGGCGGAGGGCUGGAAACCCUGCAGUGCCAUGGCUGUGACACCCCCUGCCCCAUGCCACCACCCUCAUGGGGGUGCCGGGUCCCCGCCGUGCCAUCCACCGCACGAGAUGCCCAGGGCCAGGGGCAGGGGCUCUGGGCACCGUGGGGCAGGAGGCGGAGGCACGCUGCCCGCUGGCUGAUCCCUCAGCCUGGAGGAGAGCCAGGACCUCCUCUCCGGGGCCUUGCAGAGCGCUCCCUUCCCAGCACGGGCGGCCUUUUCUUAACCCGGCGGCCCCAGGAGGCAGCUGUCCCCGUGGCAGGGCAGCAGGGGGGCACGAGGAGGGCACCCCCCCAGCACGUGGCCCCGGGUCCCUGCUGGGGAGAGGCAUCCGUCUGCAGCCGAUGGCUGGGAGACAGCCGUCAGCGCACCUGUGGCGAUCGGCUUUCAUAUAUUUUAAAUUUCACUCACACGAUCUAUUUGUGCGUUUCCCUGCCGGCUGCGGGCCGAGGCAGGGGCACGGGGAGCAGGGCCGUCUGGGGAGGCUUUGCAGGGAGGCCGAUGAUCCAAUUAAGGCAACAAAGAGCCGCUGCGCCGCGAUCUGAGGGGUUCAGGAGCUGGGAGCAAGCAGGGAACGGCGGCAGAAGGCGAAGCCAAGCAGACAUAUGGAACAAGUUACGGCGGAGACGGCGGAGGCAAAGUGCGUAAAUGAGUUCAAGAGAUGCCUGGGCUUUUCUCGGGAGAAGGGAAGGACUCGAGGGGUCUGCUUGGAAAAGCAGGAAGGAGGGAUUAAGAUAAAGCCCAGAGAUGGAGGCCUGCUGUGCUGACUGGCCUCUGCUUGUUCCCGGCUUUAUUUAUUUAUAUUUUUUUUUCAUUUGACUGUAAGAGAUAUUAAUGUAAUUAAAGGAUGGGGGAACUACUGGAGAGCUGCAGUAAGUUGAGGGAGAGCAGAAGGGAGUAGGAGUGGGAGCUACCUAGCAACCAACGUGCGGAAGCCAAUAAAAUGCACAGAUAGGCAAAAUUCAGGGAAAAAAAAAAAAAAAAAAAAGCCCAGGAUAAUGAAAGAAGAGCUCAAGCAUCUCAUCCCCAAAGUGAGCCAGGGGAUGCGACGCCAGCCCCCAGCUGCUGGGACAGAUUCCCACCUGCCCCUGUCCGUCUGUCCCUGCUCCUUAUGCAAAGACCUGGCCACCCUCGAGCCACAGGCACCCCUCCAGUCACACUGGGUUUCGGGGCAGAGAAAGCUCAGGCAAGGCCUGGAAGCCCAACAGCACCUUCCUAUACGUAUCUGUGACAUUGCUGCUGCUCUGUAACCCCCUGGGACAGCAGCUUCCCUGGCUGGGAGCAGCUCCCAAACCCCUCCGUGGUGCGGGUGGGCUGCACCCCUUGCCCAAGGAGGACAGGUCCACAAGAGGUCCCUGCCAUGCUUUGACCUGCGUAGGAGCCUUUUGUGCAGCUUGUUUGUAGAUAAAGCUGUGCGAUUUCUUAUUUCUGGAACUGUGACAUAAUUUCCUUCUCAAGGACUCCGGUGUUACAGCAAAUGGCACGGGGAGAGAGCUUGUCCACUGCCGGCGCUUUCUGAAAAGGCAACAGCCCUGCUCCAGCAGGCAGACAUGCAAUUUCCACUUUGAGACUUGCCCCCACAGUGUUAUGGGAUGCAAAACUCAUUUCGGCUUCAAAUGGUGGAAGGAACAUGGAGAAUUUUCCCAAAAGUUUGAGCAAAAUCGGACACAUUGCCUUUUAAAUUACCAGGCUUUAAAAAACAACCUAUGCAGGUUUGAAAUUUGCCCUCUGCAUCCUUUCUUUAAGGGAUGACUUUUCUUACUAAACCGCGGCUGAUACAUAACCACGCUUCCCACGUAGGCAAAAAGUGUUGACAAGACAUUUCUGAGGAAAUAUGGCAUCAUUAAGGACUAUAUGACAUAAUUAAGGGAAGGAGGGUGAAAGAAGCUUUUGCCCUCUCGUGGCUGGUCACAGUUAAUGUCACCAGUGGUGUCACACACGUCACCUUGCCAUGCACUUUCUCCCAGGCCCUGGGCAGACGAAGCCAUGGGACUGAGCUCUGCUGAGCGCUUCAGGGCUGGACCUGAGCCUUGUAUUUCUUUGCACCCCACUCUUGCACGAUGCUCGGUGCUAACGCCUGUAGCUUCUGCUGUGGCUUCCCCGGGUACACACGGACAGCUAGGAGUAAGCACAUUCAUGCUUUGCAGGAUCAGGGGCUUGUUUUGCAGUAAUGGAUUUGUUGCAGAAUUAUAGCUAACUAGCUGUGUCUUCUGGAAAAAAAAAUAUAA
Long non-coding RNA from Oxyura jamaicensis (ruddy duck), 2809 nucleotides. RefSeq lists it as uncharacterized. The record is from RefSeq and is a predicted model, not a curated record. The transcript is spliced from 2 exons. Lineage: Eukaryota; Metazoa; Chordata; Aves; Anseriformes; Anatidae.